UGUGGGUGUAACUUGGGUCUCGCUGAAAGAGAACUUUAUGAGUUCGGUGAGGAGGGUUGACCUGGUUGAGAGCAUCUUUUCUCUUAUACUUUGGGUGGUUAAGGUUUCUCUUGCAUAUGUUGUAUGAGUUGGAUUUGUGUCUACAUGAGUGAGGAAGAAGAAGGAGGGAGAGGAAAAAAGGGAAUUGCGGUGUUUGUGUGUUGAAGGAGAGGAGGGUUGCUAAUGAGUAUGGGGGUUUUUGUGUAGUUGUUGUAAGUGGGUUUUGGGAUAAGAAAGGGAAAGAAAAGAAGAUAGGGCGUUGAUGCAGAAGGGUUUCAACAAGGAAAUGGUUGCACACAGGAGACCUUUGCUUGUGUUUAUGAAUGUUCUUUCUACAUUUUUCGUGAAUAAGGUUUGAGAGCUUUAUUGUUAAGAAAAAAAUUUCUUUAACAAUUCUUUUGUAACAACUUGUUUACAAUGCAUACGUGGUAGCUUAUGAUUGGUUCGUUUCAAAUAUUUUUUUUUUUUAAAAUAAAUUCAAACAGAUGAAUGAAAUGGUGACACGUGUCCUCGUGUCAAAAAGUUGUUAAAAAGUAUUGUUAAAAUAUCAAAAUCCUAUUGUUAAAUAGAGAGAAAGUCUCGUAGGCCCUACCGUGGAUAACUAGUGUGGGAGGUGUUUCUUGCUAGUGUGACAUGGUGAAUCUGACAUGCAGAGGGGUUUAGUUCCGUCAUGGUCUUGCUUGGCAAAAAGAAAAGUAAAGAUAAGGUUGUAAUAAAAUAUAUAACAUACAUGUGUUAAAGUACAUGAAGGGUAUGCGUUUUCUUUGUAAAAUAGAAGUGAAUAAAUGGUUAAAUAGAAUAUGAAAAAGGUUAGAGGGUGCCAACACCCAAUUUCGUCCGG
RNAcentral lists this long non-coding RNA (880 nucleotides) under Vigna radiata. RNAcentral describes it as "long non-coding RNA (VRAD_LNC008516)". The record is from RNAcentral. Lineage: Eukaryota; Viridiplantae; Streptophyta; Magnoliopsida; Fabales; Fabaceae.